This 457-nucleotide ribosomal RNA is filed under the name uncultured bacterium. RNAcentral's name for it is "bacterial SSU rRNA". It matches the Rfam family "Bacterial small subunit ribosomal RNA", at positions 28 to 496 of the family's 1533-position model. The record is from RNAcentral.
GAUGAACGCUGGCGGCGUGCUUAACACAUGCAAGUCGAACGGGAUCCAUCAGGCUUUGCUUGGUGGUGAGAGUGGCGAACGGGUGAGUAAUGCGUGACCGACCUGCCCCAUACACCGGAAUAGCUCCUGGAAACGGGUGGUAAUGCCGGAUGCUCCAGUUGAUCGCAUGGUCUUCUGGGAAAGCUUUCGCGGUAUGGGAUGGGGUCGCGUCCUAUCAGCUUGACGGCGGGGUAACGGCCCACCGUGGCUUCGACGGGUAGCCGGCCUGAGAGGGCGACCGGCCACAUUGGGACUGAGAUACGGCCCAGACUCCUACGGGAGGCAGCAGUGGGGAAUAUUGCACAAUGGGCGCAAGCCUGAUGCAGCGACGCCGCGUGAGGGAUGGAGGCCUUCGGGUUGUAAACCUCUUUUAUCGGGGAGCAAGCGUGAGUGAGUUUACCCGUUGAAUAAGCACCGG